AAAGUAGUAAGACCCCUGAAAGACGAUCAGGUUGAUAGGUUUGGAGUGGAAGCUUAGCAAUAAGUGGAGCGGACAAAUACUAAUCGGUCGAGGACUUAUCCAAA
RNAcentral lists this ribosomal RNA (104 nucleotides) under Aerococcus urinae. RNAcentral describes it as "partial 23S ribosomal RNA". It matches the Rfam family "Bacterial large subunit ribosomal RNA", at positions 2822 to 2925 of the family's 2925-position model. The record is from RNAcentral. Lineage: Bacteria; Bacillati; Bacillota; Bacilli; Lactobacillales; Aerococcaceae.